CUGAGAGCAGCGCCGCCCCCGCCCGGCCGUGGGGCAGGUCCCCUCAGCCUGUCCGCCCGCCCCGCGAAGCACCGGGGCCUCCGUCGUCGCCAGGGCAACCGCUUCCCCGGCGCGGGGGAGGCGACGCGUGCUUCGCCCCCGCCCCCCUCCAGUGGGCAGCCCCGCUGCGUGGGAGCGGGCGUCCGGCUCCCGGCCUGCCCGCUAAGUGAUUUGGAAACGUCUGAAGGCCCGGGUGGCGGGGGGGGGGGACCUUUGGAGCUGAUUUGGCUGCCAACGUGAAAACGUUUCCGUUAAAAAAGGCCCGGGCCGAGGGCACUGCUCAUGCACAGCAGGUGGGGAGGGGGCCUCAGCCCCGCGGCCCAGGCAGCAGGAAGGGCCCCUUCGGCGCGCCGGGGGCCCACGCCCACGAGACACGGCUGGACGCCCUCCUGAACACGGCGGCCACUGAGUGUAGUCGGGGGGGGCAGGGGCCACCUACGGGCGCCAGCGGGGACAAAAGCAAAGGACGGAGGCUCGGAGCACGGCGCCCGCAGGCCCGGCCUGGCCAAGCUGCCUGGAGACGCGAGCGCGGCCGGGAACGGAGGCUCUUAAUUUGCAGGGAGCUCGUGGGAGCAGUGCCCAGCCAGACCCUAGAAGAAAUCAUCAGCGGUGCGAGGAGCCUGGAAUGUGCUAUAGUGUUGCAUCGGUGACCUGCAGAGCAGACACUCCAGCGUGGCCACGGAAAUCCUGUUCUUUGGAAAACUCAAGGCAGCAUCAGGAGCGUGGCACCGAGCUGGAGGCAGAAGCUGCCCCAGCAGAGGGGGGCCCAG
RNAcentral lists this long non-coding RNA (809 nucleotides) under Crocodylus porosus (Australian saltwater crocodile). Its description in RNAcentral is "lncRNA (ENSCPRG00005004051.1)". The record is from RNAcentral. Lineage: Eukaryota; Metazoa; Chordata; Crocodylia; Crocodylidae.